Long non-coding RNA from Oreochromis aureus, 401 nucleotides. NCBI's taxonomy places the organism in Eukaryota, Metazoa, Chordata, Actinopteri, Cichliformes, Cichlidae. The record is from Ensembl.
CUGAGACGCAGCGGAGCGGAGGUGGAGUGCCUGCCUUAAAACAGGACAUAUUAGCUGCAUUUAACCUUCAGUUACUCUUUAUAUAGUUAGGUAGGAGUCAGGCCAUGUUUCUUUUUAGCUGAAAAACAUCACAUCCAGAGAGACAGUCAGGUUCAUAAUGGAUAUGAGGAAGUUUUUUCAAAAAAAGGAGCCACAUUCAGUCCAAAGAGGGAGAGAGGAAAGAGGAGAACAUGAGGAGAAAGUACAAGGUCAGGAAGAACCAGGUAAGAAAACAGACAGGGAGUACUAACAGGCAAAACAGAAACUGUUAAACUGGCAAAGAAAAAAACAACAACUAAUUUUACUCAUACAAUCUGGAAGUUGUUUUCUCCCUAUAUUAAAGCUGCUGUACAGAAUCUGCA